GAUGAACGCUGGCGGCGUGCCUAAUACAUGCAAGUCGAGCGAACGGACGAGAAGCUUGCUUCUCUGAUGUUAGCGGCGGACGGGUGAGUAACACGUGGAUAACCUACCUAUAAGACUGGGAUAACUUCGGGAAACCGGAGCUAAUACCGGAUAAUAUUUUGAACCGCAUGAUUCAAAAGUGAAAGACGGUCUUGCUGUCACUUAUAGAUGGAUCCGCGCUGCAUUAGCUAUUUGGUAAGGUAACGGCUUACCAAGGCAACGAUGCAUAGCCGACCUGAGAGGGUGAUCGGCCACACUGGAACUGAGACACGGUCCAGACUCCUAAGGGAGGCAGCAGUAGGGAAUCUUCCGCAAUGGGCGAAAGCCUGACGGAGCAACGCCGCGUGAGUGAUGAAGGUCUUCGGAUCGUAAAAAUCUGUUAUUAGGGAAGAACAUAUGUGUAAGUAACUGUGCACAUCUUGACGGUACCUAAUCAGAAAGCCACGGCUAACUACGUG
This 497-nucleotide ribosomal RNA is filed under the name uncultured bacterium. RNAcentral's name for it is "partial 16S ribosomal RNA". It matches the Rfam family "Bacterial small subunit ribosomal RNA", at positions 28 to 507 of the family's 1533-position model. The record is from RNAcentral.